This 73-nucleotide transfer RNA is filed under the name Podarcis lilfordi (Lilford's wall lizard). RNAcentral's name for it is "tRNA.Lys". The stretch from base 8 to 65 matches the Rfam family "tRNA", at positions 8 to 63 of the family's 71-position model. Rfam says of the family: Transfer RNA (tRNA) molecules are approximately 80 nucleotides in length. Their secondary structure includes four short double-helical elements and three loops (D, anti-codon, and T loops). Lineage: Eukaryota; Metazoa; Chordata; Lepidosauria; Squamata; Lacertidae. The record is from RNAcentral.
GCUGGGAUAGCUCAGUUGGUAGAGCAUGAGACUUUUCAUCUCAGGGUUGUGAGUUCUAGCCCCACAUUGGACA